Anolis carolinensis (green anole) is the source of this 4696-nucleotide long non-coding RNA. RefSeq lists it as uncharacterized. NCBI's taxonomy places the organism in Eukaryota, Metazoa, Chordata, Lepidosauria, Squamata, Anolidae. The transcript is spliced from 2 exons. The record is from RefSeq and is a predicted model, not a curated record.
GUUGAUGACCUGAAAGCUGCCAGGUUCGAAUCCCACCCGGGGAGAGUGCGGAUGAGCUCCCUCUAUCAGCUUCAGCUCCAUGCGGGGACAUUAGAGAAGCCUCCCACAAGGAUGGUAAAACAUCAAAAACAUCCGGGCGUCCCCUGGGCAACGUCCUUGCAGACGGCCAAUUCUCUCACUCCAGAAGCAACUCCGGUUGCUCCUGACACGAAAAAAAAAAGCUGGAAUCAUAGCCUUGCAAGAGUCAGCGUGGGCCGUCCAGUCAAAGCCGCCAAGGAAAGAACCCCACUGUUGAACUGCUCUUACAUAGACUCAGCGGACUCACAUAGACUCACAUGGACCAUCCAAUCCAACCCCCUGCUGUGCAGAAAAGAAAACAAUCAAAGCACCCCAGCAGAUGGCCACCCAGCCUAUGUUUCAAAGCCUCCAAGGAAGGAGCUUCAACCACACUCCCAGGCAGAGAGUUCCACUGGUGAACAGUUCUUACAUAGAAUCAUAGAGCUGGAAGAGACCACAUGGGCCAUCCAGUCCAACAAAGCACCCCAGCAGAUGGCCACCCAGCCUAUGUUUCAAAGCCUCCAAGGAAGAUGUUCCACCACACUCCCUGGCAGAGAAUUCCACUGGUGAACAGUUCUUACAUAGAAUCAUAGUUUUGAAGAGACUACAUGGGCCAUCCAGUUCAACCCCCUACUGUGCAGGAAAGAAAGUAAUCAAAGCACCCUAGCAGAUGGCCACCCAGCCUGUGUUUCGAAGCCUCCAAAGAAGAUCUUCCACCACACUCCCUGGCAGAAAGUUCCACUGGUGAACAGUUCUUACAUAGAAUCAUAGAGCUGGAAGAGACCACAUGGGCCAUCCAGUCCAACCCCCUGCUGUGCAGGAAAGGAAACAAUCAAAACACCCUAGCAGAUGACCACCCAGCCUGCGUUUCAAAGCCUCCAAGGAAGAUCUUCCACUACACUCCCAGGCAGAGAGUUCCACUGGUGAACAGUUCUUACAUAGAAUCAUAGAGCUGGAAGAGACUACAUGGGCCAUCCAUUCCAACCCCCUGCUGCGCAGGAAAGAAAACAAUCAAAGCACCCCAGCAGAUGGCCACCCAGCCUGUGUUUCAAAGCUUCCAAAGAAGAUCUUCCACCACACUCCCUGGCAGAAAGUUCCACUGGUGAACAGUUCUUACAUAGAAUCAUAGAGUUGGAAGAGACCACAUGGGCCAUCCAGUCCAACCCCCUGCUGUGCAGGAAAGAAAACAAUCAAAGCACCCCAGCAGAUGGCCACCCAGCCUGUGUUUCACAGCUUCCAAAGAUCUUCCACCACACUCCCUGGCAGAGAGUUCCACUGGUGAAUAGUUCUUGCAUAGAAUCAUAGAGAUGGAAGAGACUACAUGGGCCAUCCAGUCCAACCCCCUGCUGCGCAGAAAAGAAAACAAUCAAAACACCCCAGCAGAUGGCCACCAACCUGUGUUUCAAAACCUCCAAGGAAGAUCUAGGAUCAUAGAAUAAUAUAACACUGAAUGAAACAUGUAGAAUAAUCACAGGAUGUCUUAAAUCUACACCUAUUGAUAGACUUUAUAAACUAGCUGGCAUUGCCCGUACUGAUGUCUGACGGGAAGUUGCUGCCAUAAGGUCGAACACUGUGAAAGUAUGGCUAUCAGCCUCCUUCUAGUAGACUUAAAUCAAGGAAACUUUUCAUGAGAACCUCCAGGCCUUUUAAUGUUCCUUCAGCAACAGAAAGAAUAUCCCUGUGGGCAGAAAAAUCAGGCAAUUUCAACUGGAUGGCCCAUCACGCAAACCAAGAAUAGGCAACUUGGAAGUCCCUGAACAGACUCAGAAGCGGUGUUGGGUGAUCAAAAGACAAUCUGGCUAAAUGAAACUACCUAGAAGAAUCCUCCACUUUGUGUGAUUGUGGAGCAGAACAAACAACUCAGCAUCCGUAUGCUUUCCCACAAUGCCCUGCCUCAUGCACAUAGGAAGAGCUGUUUAAAGCUACAGACAAUGCGGUUGCUGUUGCCCGUUUUUGGUCUAAAAUUAUUCAGCUGCUCAUGCUCCCUUUAAUUGUAUCAGUUUUAUACUUAUUUAUUUAUGCAAUGCUUUUGACACUAAAUAAAUAAAUAGAAUAAUAGAGUUUGAAGAGAACACAUGGGCCAUCCAGGCCAACCCCCUGCCAUGCAGGAAAGGACACAAUCAAAGCACCCUGACAGAUAGCCAUCCAACAUCUGUUUCAAAGCAUCCACUACAAUCCCAGGCAGAGAGUUCCACUACUGAACAGCUUUUAAAUAAAUUAAUAGGAUAAUAGAGUUAUGGGCCAUCCAGUCUGACUUCCAGCCCUGCAGGAAAGGAAAAAACCAAAGCACCCGCAGCAGAUGAUUAUCCAACCUCUGUUUCCACUGCACUCAGCGGUAGAGAGUUCCACAGUUGCACAUACAAUCAUAGGAUAAUAGAGUUGGAAGAGACCACAUGGGCUGUCCAAUCCAAGCACCUCGUGUGCAAGAAAAGAAACAAAGCACUGACAGAUGGCCAUCCAGCCUCAGUUUCUAAGCUUCCAUCACACUCCCAGGCAGAGAGUUCCACUGCUGAACAGCUCUUAUAUAGAAUCAUAGGAUAAAAGAGUGGAAAGGACUUUAACCUUUAAGAUUGGUUUGAGGCCAUUGUUCGAAUCCCCGCUCAGCCCAUGGCAACCCACUGGUGAAGUUUGGAGCAAGUUACACAUUCUCGACCUCAGAGGAAAGCAUUGUGUACCUCUCAUCACACACAACAACAACAGCAAUAGCAGCAGCAUGUUUCAAAAUUUGGAAAAAUCUGUUCCUGGUUUGAACGUGUUGUUCCCUGUUUAGUUAUGUGGUACUGACUGUGAAAGGUGUUAUCUACUCUAGAAACUUUGCUUUUCUGGCUGCCACAAACUAUGCUGAAUUGGUUGAGACUAAAUGAGAUAUUUCUUGAAAAACUAUAGCAAGAUGUGCUGCAGGAUCUACAGCAAAAACAAAGUUUUGACACACUGUGUGAAUUAGUUCACACAAACAUUCUCCAUCCAUCUGCCACUAUCUCAGCCAAUGCCUGAUAUAUAUAUACAUUAUAUAUAAAUAUAAUAAAAGUCAAUGUGUGUAUCUAUGUGGUGGGGUACAUAUGUAUGCAACAAUCUCUUUUUCUGGCCGGGACUCCGACUUCCAUAGACCAUUGCAAUCCCCACCGAUGAUGGAUCUGGACCAAACUUGGCACACAAACCCCUCAUGGCCCACUUUACAUCCUGGUGCAGAUUGGGGUCGGAUGGGCCAUGCAUGGUGGAAUUUGCAGUAGUUUCUCCCACUUCAGCUCCAACUUCCAUAGACCACUACGAACCCCAUGAAUGAAGGACCUGGAGCAAACUUGCCACACAGACUGUCCCCUCAUGACUCACUUUACAUCCUGGUGCGAUUUGGGGAAGGAUGGACCAUGGGUGAUAGGAUUUGCAGUCCCUUCACCUGCUUCCACAGACCACUGGACCCUCAAGAACGGUGAAUCUGGAACAAACUUGGGACACAGACCCCCAUGACCCACUUUAUAACCUGGUGAGGUUUGGAAGAGGAAGGGCCACAGAUGUCAGAAUCUGCAAUCGCUUAACUGAUUUCCACAGACCACUCCAACCUCCUCAAAUAAUGGACCUGGAACAAUCUUGGAACCCAGACCACCCCCCCCACCUGACCCACUUUACAUCUUGGGGAGGAUGGACCACGGAAAAUGGGAUUUGCAAUACCAAUUCAGAAACUACUGCUAACCCCAUUAGCUAUGGAUCUGGACUAAACCUAGGAUACAGACUCCCCUAUGACUCACUUUAUGUCCUGGUAGGAUUUGAGGGAGGAUGGACCAUGGAUGAUGGGAUUUGCAGUACUUACCCCUACAUCCAGAGACUACUUCAAACACCAUCACCCAUGGAUAUUGACCAACUUCUAGUGGGUCCAUUCAUAACAUCCAAAAACAAGCAAUGCCUUUUCCAAAUAACCCGGGCAUUGCCAGGUACCCAAGCUAGAAUAGAACAGAACAGAAUAGAAUACAUAAACAUUUAUUAGGGCUCUGUGGCUUAAAAAGUUUGAGAACCCCUGGCAUGGUCAGUGGGGAAGAACAGAGUUGUUGUCCAAAAACACUUGGAAGGUCACAUUAUCCUAAAUUAAGCUGCAACUUUAAUUAUUAUUUCUGACCCCCUUUUCCUUUUUAAUCUUAAUCCAUCUUUUCACUUACAUGUAGUGGGCCUUUGGUAGACAGUGGGGUUUAGCUGCAGGAUUGUACCCCCAGAUUCCAAAAUCCAUAAAUGCUCAAGUUUCAUUAUAUACAGGCAGUCCUUGAGUUACAAGCAUCCGACUUAAGAACAGGUGAGACAACAGGAAGUAGCAUGGGGCGGAUAACCUUUGUAUUGUAUUUGUAUUUGUUUGUAUUGUAGUAGGAAGACUCAGAUUUGUUUAGUGGCAUUGGCAAAGAACCAAUACUUGAGAUUCAGCACAGAACAUAAAAUGUGCUCCUCUAUUAUUUUUUAAUUAAUGUCUUGGACUUGGACUUGGUAUCUACGUAUAUUUCUGCUGCCAUAGAAAGUCCAGCUGAUAUGUGUGAAUAAUGAAUAUCAAAUUAUGCCGAGAUGCCCUUAUUCUGCAAGUGAUUGGGCCCUUGUUUUGAACUCUUUUACAUCUGCUAUACACAGGGGUUAAAAUAAUAAUAAAAAGAACCUGUCAUACUUA